RNAcentral lists this non-coding RNA (148 nucleotides) under Pan paniscus (pygmy chimpanzee). The record is from Rfam by way of RNAcentral. RNAcentral also lists the same sequence under 1 other name. Lineage: Eukaryota; Metazoa; Chordata; Mammalia; Primates; Hominidae.
GCCAGGUGUGGUGGUGCACACCUGUUGUCCCAGCUACUCAGGAGCCUGAGGCAGGAGGAUUGCUUGAGCCCAGGAGUUCAAGGUUGCAGUGAGCUAUGAUUUUGCAACUGUACUCUAGCCUGGGCAACAGAAAGAGAUCCUGUCUCUU